Molecule: non-coding RNA, 81 nt
Filed under: Parabacteroides acidifaciens
Lineage: Bacteria; Pseudomonadati; Bacteroidota; Bacteroidia; Bacteroidales; Tannerellaceae
Source: RNAcentral
GAAAUGUAUGGAGUAAAGUUUGCUGUGAGAAGUCAGCAGAAGCCAUAGUAGUUCAGCAAUCGAUAACACUGAACGAAGGGC